RNAcentral lists this ribosomal RNA (456 nucleotides) under uncultured bacterium. RNAcentral's name for it is "bacterial SSU rRNA". It matches the Rfam family "Bacterial small subunit ribosomal RNA", at positions 340 to 786 of the family's 1533-position model. The record is from RNAcentral.
UACGGGAGGCAGCAGUGGGGAAUAUUGCACAAUGGGCGAAAGCCUGAUGCAGCUAUGCCGCGUGUAUGAAGAAGGCCUUAGGGUUGUAAAGUACUUUCAUCGGGGAGGAAAAACAAAACUAAUAAUUUUAUUUCUUGACGUUACCCGAAAAAGAAGCACCGGCUAACUCCGUGCCAGCAGCCGCGGUAAUACGGAGGGUGCUAGCGUUAAUCAGAAUUACUGGGCGUAAAGAGCACGUAGGUGGUUUUUUUAAAGUCAGAUGUGAAAUCCCUGGGCUUAACCUAGGAACUGCAUUUUGAAACUGAAAUACUAGAGUAUCGUAGAGGGAGGUAGAAUUCUAGGUGUAGCGGUGAAAUGCGUAGAUAUCUGGAGGAUACCUGUGGCGAAAGCGGCCUCCUAAACGAAUACUGACACUGAGGUGCGAAAGCGUGGGGAGCAAACGAGGGAUUAGAUACC